AACGAACGCUGGCGGCAGGCCUAACACAUGCAAGUCGAACGCCCUGGCAACAGGGAGUGGCAGACGGGUGCGUAACGCGUGGGAACAUGCCCUUUGGUUCGGAAUAACUCAGGGACACUUGAGCUAAUACCGGAUAAGCCCGAGAGGGGAAAGAUUUAUCGCCGAAGGAUUGGCCCGCGUCUGAUAAGCUAGUUGGUGAGGUAAUGGCUCACCAAGGCGACGAUCAGUAGCUGGUCUGAGAGGAUGAUCAGCCACACUGGGACUGAGACACGGCCCAGACUCCUACGGGAGGCAGCAGUGGGGAAUAUUGGACAAUGGGCGCAAGCCUGAUCCAGCCAUGCCGCGUGAGUGAUGAAGGCCUUAGGGUUGUAAAGCUCUUUUACCCGGGAAGAUAAUGACGGUACCGGGAGAAUAAGCCCCGGCUAACUUCGUGCCAGCCGCCGCCGUAA
Molecule: ribosomal RNA, 449 nt
Filed under: uncultured bacterium
Lineage: Bacteria
Description: partial 16S ribosomal RNA
Rfam family: Bacterial small subunit ribosomal RNA
Source: RNAcentral